Long non-coding RNA from Malaya genurostris, 438 nucleotides. RefSeq lists it as uncharacterized. Lineage: Eukaryota; Metazoa; Arthropoda; Insecta; Diptera; Culicidae. The record is from RefSeq and is a predicted model, not a curated record. The transcript is spliced from 2 exons.
UCCAUUCGUUGUAACGCCCUUGCACUAUAGUCCCUUGCAGACAAUUAGUUGUUUUUACGGCCGCUCACUAAAGCCUUGUUGUAGAAUGGUUUGUUGUUAAGACCAUUUUGUGCUGAAUAAUAAUCUUCAAAUUUUUCAAGAAAAUACGAACAAUGGCAUUCAACGAAGAUAACAUAUCGUGCCUGAAAUAAACAGAUGCUGCUUUCUGAAAAACGACCAUAGGAAAUCAAAUCGUGCCAGAGUCGUACUGAACGGAGGAGAAAGACACAAAACUCAAGAUGAUAAUUGCAUGCAAAAAACCCUGUUUUUGUUUUUCUGCUAAAUAGAAACUGAUCGGUUGAAGGGAAAUAUAAAAUUGUCCGAUGCAUCUGAAAACUUGCUUUCUUAGUAAUAAAAUGCAUAUUUCUCAAUAAAUGAUAACAGAGGUAACUAUUCAAA